GAUGGCCUUGAACUCACUAUGUAGCCGAAACUGGCCUUGACUCUUGGUGAUCCUCCUGCCUCAGCCUCACGAGUGCUAGGAUUACAGGUCACUUCAUAUUCCAAGAUGGCUGCCAGAGAUCCAUCCAUCAGAUCCACAUUCCAAGUCAAUAGCAAGAGAAAGGAGAAAAGAAAAAGGAUAUGCGUGCCUUUUACAGAACCUUUUCCAGAAGGCCCACACUAACUUAUAUUUCUUUGGGCAUCAUUUUAUCAUAUGGCCACAUCUGGCUGCAGAGAAGGCUGGGAAUAUCAUUUUUUAGCUGGCUGUAGUGUCUCGAAGUCAGUUACGAAGGAAGAAGGGAAGGAUGAAUAUAAACAAAAUUAUACUGAGCAAAACAAGUCAGGACACAAGAAGAGUGUAUACUGUAUGGUUCCAUUUAUAUGAAACUCUAGGAAAGGCAAAUCUAAUUUAUAACAGCAGCAAGCAUUGCUGAUCGUGGGUCAGAAUUUACAGGGUGUGCAGCAAGGAAGGUUUUUGGGAUAAUGGAAAUGUUCUGUGUCCUGAUGAUGAUGCUUAUAUAGGAGUACAGAUUGGUCUUCCAAUCUGUACAAGUGUUGUCUUCCAAACAUGCACUUCCAAGGGAUGCCAUUUCAUUUGAACUAUAUAUUAUACCUCAGUAAAGUUGAGUUUUAUAAUUAUGAAAAACCCCAACACUAUAACAAAAUUAUUCUUAAAGUUUAUUCAUUUUCCUUCUCUUUUAUUUGCAUAUCUUGACACAGCUGAGAGUACAAUGCUUAUACUCACUUGGAUUCCUGCAUUCUUCACUUUACAUCAUAAGAUUUUUCCAUGUUGCUUCGUUGAUCUUCAUAAGCAUAACUUGAAAUGACUGUAUGAUCCUUUGGGAGUUUGAAAUGUAACAUGUGUACACAUACAGUUAAAACAAUUCACAAGCACCAAAGAACACACAAUAGAAUGGAGUCUCCCCCUGCAACUCUGUAAAACCCUUACUUAGAAGCAGUGGAUUCCAGUUUCUAGCACAUAGAACCAGAAACAUCCUGUGCACAUAAAGACACACGUGUGAAGACCUCCUCUCCUGUGAGACGUCUCGGAGGCAAUCCUGAGUACUCACUUGCUCACAUGAUACAUCUUGAACACCCGCUCAUGUUCUUCAUACGGUCUGAAUGUUCUCUCAUUUAUUGAAUCAAUAUUGUUAAGCACAUAGUGUUUCCCCAGUUUCUUUUUUCCUAUUAAUCAUGCCGUAGAUGUCAUGUUACUGGUUUGACUCAGCUACCAAGUUUAAAAUAAAUGCUACGUUCCAAAGGAGCUGCUAGGCUGUCUACAGCAUUUGCCAAGCAAGAUGCUUAAAGCCAGCUGUGCUGGUGCACACCUGCAGUCCCAGCUGCUUGGAGGGCUGACAUGGAAGCGGCUCAAAUUCAAGGGCAGCCUGGGCAAUUUAGUGAGAUCCUGUCUCAAAUAAAAAGGUCUGGAGCGUAGCUCAGGUGUAGAGGGCUUGCCCAGCAUGUCCUAGUCGCUGGGUUUAAUCUUUGGUACUGGGGAAAAAAAUGGGUGGGGGAG
RNAcentral lists this long non-coding RNA (1554 nucleotides) under Heterocephalus glaber (naked mole-rat). RNAcentral's name for it is "lncRNA (ENSHGLG00100039327.1)". The record is from RNAcentral. Lineage: Eukaryota; Metazoa; Chordata; Mammalia; Rodentia; Bathyergidae.